UACGAGUGCCCCAAGCGUUAUCCGGAAUUAUUGGGCGUAAAGGGUGUGUAGGUGGUUUUGUUAGUCUUUUGUUAAAUUCUUCGGCUUAACCGGGGGCCUGCAAAAGAAACGGCAAAACUAGAGGAUGCGAGAGGUGUGCGGAACUCAUGGUGUAGGGGUGAAAUCCGUUGAUAUCAUGGGGAACACCGAAAGCGAAGGCAGCACACUGGCGCACGCCUGACACUGAAACACGAAAGCGUGGGUAGCGAAUGGG
Molecule: ribosomal RNA, 253 nt
Filed under: uncultured bacterium
Lineage: Bacteria
Description: partial 16S ribosomal RNA
Rfam family: Bacterial small subunit ribosomal RNA
Source: RNAcentral